CCUACGGGUGGCAGCAGUGGGGAAUAUUGCACAAUGGGGGAAACCCUGAUGCAGCGACGCCGCGUGAAGGAAGAAGUAUUUCGGUAUGUAAACUUCUAUCAGCAGGGAAGAAAAUGACGGUACCUGACUAAGAAGCCCCGGCUAACUACGUGCCAGCAGCCGCGGUAAUACGUAGGGGGCAAGCGUUAUCCGGAUUUACUGGGUGUAAAGGGAGCGUAGGCGGUUUAGCAAGUCAGAAGUGAAAGCCCGGGGCUCAACUCCGGGACUGCUUUUGAAACUGUUGAACUAGAUUGCAGGAGAGGUAAGUGGAAUUCCUAGUGUAGCGGUGAAAUGCGUAGAUAUGUGGAAGAACACCGAUGGCGAAGGCAGCCUCCUGGGAGGCAACUGACGCUCAUACACGAAAGCGUGGGGAGCAAACAGGAUUAGAUACCCUAGUAGUC
This 440-nucleotide ribosomal RNA is filed under the name uncultured bacterium. Its description in RNAcentral is "partial 16S ribosomal RNA". It matches the Rfam family "Bacterial small subunit ribosomal RNA", at positions 338 to 795 of the family's 1533-position model. The record is from RNAcentral.